AGCUAUUCUAAAAACAAUGCUACCAACCGUAAUUUUCCAACACUUUUAAAAUAUAAUAUUAUACACACUCGUGUCCUAAGACGGGAAAACAUCGACAAGUUAUCGUUUUCCUUGCACUAAGAGCGGCUAAAUAAUCUCACGACUACCUAAGACGUCGCGGAAACUUAAAACACAAAAAAAAAAUUUGAUUAAAAAAUUGCAAUGGCAAAGCAACAUGUGAAAGGAAAAAAGCACAAAUAUUUCCGUUAGCUUGCUGAUCAACUAGUAAAUUCUCUGGGCACUACGUGGGAGAGCGCGCAACAGGGCGAAGGAAACCAUCGGAAACGUAGAACAGUUUUCGGGUUACACAUAUAAUAAUCGUAAUUUUUAUAAUCGUAAUAUAUAAUAACAUUAUAUAUCUAUUUGAAGCUCUCAGCUACAACCAACAAACAAUGCCACCCACAUUUAUGACAGCUACGACAGCAACCCGAAUCGCGCCUGCAUCCUUAGCGAUCUAGCCUAGGACCGCGCACAGGACAAUCCAAAUUUUUGAUUCUGACUUCGGGAACGACCAGUUAUCCCGCAAGUAGUGGAGGAGGCCGGCUCUAAGUCAGGGGUGCCCAGUCCUAUUGCUCUCGAUCCUACGUUGGAUAUCACUUCCAUAUGGGAAAAGCAAAAUCAUAUACGUGUACUGCUCCCAGCAUAGGCAGAGACAAAUUACAAGAACAAUUUUGCAUAGUUUUCCUAUUGAAUGAGGAAUUUGCUGCCUCUGUCGCCGAACUGAGCAACAACACUUGGAUAGUCUCAAUGUUUUUCGGGCUAAUGCGAAGUCAUUUUGUUGCUGGAUUGCCGAAAACCUUUUACUGCAAGAAAUCACUGAAAUCACUCAUGUGUAGCUAGUUUACAUAUUGCUAAGAAGCUAAAAUCAUUUUUACAUAAUAAGUUUAUUAAAACCGUUUGGUAAAAUAA
Long non-coding RNA from Drosophila ananassae, 948 nucleotides. RefSeq lists it as uncharacterized. The record is from RefSeq and is a predicted model, not a curated record. The transcript has 2 exons. NCBI's taxonomy places the organism in Eukaryota, Metazoa, Arthropoda, Insecta, Diptera, Drosophilidae.